This 253-nucleotide ribosomal RNA is filed under the name uncultured bacterium. RNAcentral's name for it is "partial 16S ribosomal RNA". It matches the Rfam family "Bacterial small subunit ribosomal RNA", at positions 524 to 776 of the family's 1533-position model. The record is from RNAcentral.
UCCAGAGGGGGCCAGCGUUAUUCGGCAUUAUUGGGCGUAAAGGGCGCGUAGGCGGCCAUGCGUGUCUUCCGUGAAAUCCCUCGGCUUAACUGAGGACGUGCGGAAGAAACUGCAAGGCUCGAGUCCGGGAGAGGGGGGUGGAAUUCCCAGUGUAGCGGUGAAAUGCGUAGAUAUUGGGAGGAACACCGGUGGCGAAGGCGGCCCCCUGGACCGGUACUGACGCUGAGGCGCGAAAGCGUGGGUAGCAAACGGG